Molecule: ribosomal RNA, 442 nt
Filed under: uncultured bacterium
Lineage: Bacteria
Description: partial 16S ribosomal RNA
Rfam family: Bacterial small subunit ribosomal RNA
Source: RNAcentral
CCUACGGGAGGCUGCAGUGGGGAAUAUUGGGCAAUGGGCGCAAGCCUGACCCAGCAACGCCGCGUGAAGGAAGAAGGCUUUCGGGUUGUAAACUUCUUUUAAGAGGGAAGAGUAGAAGACGGUACCUCUUGAAUAAGCCACGGCUAACUACGUGCCAGCAGCCGCGGUAAUACGUAGGUGGCAAGCGUUGUCCGGAUUUACUGGGUGUAAAGGGCGUGUAGCCGGGCCGGCAAGUCAGAUGUGAAAUCCCAAGGCUCAACCUUGGAACUGCAUUUGAAACUGUUGGUCUUGAGUAUCGGAGAGGCAGGCGGAAUUCCUAGUGUAGCGGUGAAAUGCGUAGAUAUUGCGCAGAACUCCGAUUGCGAAGGCAGCAUACCGGCGGCGAUCUGACGCUGAGGCACGAAAGCGUGGGUAUCGAACAGGAUUAGAUACCCUAGUAGUC